RNAcentral lists this ribosomal RNA (464 nucleotides) under uncultured bacterium. Its description in RNAcentral is "partial 16S ribosomal RNA". It matches the Rfam family "Bacterial small subunit ribosomal RNA", at positions 28 to 507 of the family's 1533-position model. The record is from RNAcentral.
GACGAACGCUGGCGGCGUGCUUAACACAUGCAAGUCGAACGGAAAGGCCCCUUUGGGGGUACUCGAGUGGCGAACGGGUGAGUAACACGUGAGUAACCUGCCCUUGACUUCGGGAUAACUUCAGGAAACUGGGCUAAUACCGGAUAGGAAUCCUUGCUGCAUGGUGGGGGUUGGAAAGCUUCGGCGGUUUUGGAUGGACUCGCGGCUUAUCAGCUAGUUGGUGGGGUAGUGGCUUACCAAGGCUUUGACGGGUAGCCGGCCUGAGAGGGCGACCGGCCACAUUGGGACUGAGAUACGGCCCAGACUCCUACGGGAGGCAGCAGUGGGGAAUAUUGCACAAUGGGCGGAAGCCGGAUGCAGCAACGCCGCGUGCGGGAUGACGGCCUUCGGGUUGUAAACCGCUUUCAGCAGGGGCGAAGCUUGUGGUGACGGUACCUGCAGAAGAAGCACCGGCUAACUACGUG